CCUACGGGGGGCAGCAGUCGAGAAUUAUUCACAAUGGGGGAAACCCUGAUGGUGCGACGCCGCGUGGGGGAAUGAAGGUCUUCGGAUUGUAAACCCCUGUCAUGUGGGAGCAAAUUAAAAAGAUAGUACCACAAGAGGAAGAGACGGCUAACUCUGUGCCAGCAGCCGCGGUAAUACAGAGGUCUCAAGCGUUGUUCGGAAUCACUGGGCGUAAAGCGUGCGUAGGCUGUUUCGUAAGUCGUGUGUGAAAGGCGCGGGCUCAACCCGCGGACGGCACAUGAUACUGCGAGACUAGAGUAAGGGAGGGGGAACCGGAAUUCUCGGUGUAGCAGUGAAAUGCGUAGAUAUCGAGAGGAACACUCGUGGCGAAGGCGGGUUCCUGGACAUUAACUGACGCUGAGGCACGAAGGCCAGGGGAGCGGAAGGGAUUAGAUACCCCGGUAGUC
Molecule: ribosomal RNA, 446 nt
Filed under: uncultured bacterium
Lineage: Bacteria
Description: partial 16S ribosomal RNA
Rfam family: Bacterial small subunit ribosomal RNA
Source: RNAcentral